GUAAACUUCUUUUAUCUGGGACGAAAAAAGGGAAUUCUUUCUCACUUGACGGUACCAGAGGAAUAAGCACCGGCUAACUCCGUGCCAGCAGCCGCGGUAAUACGGAGGGUGCAAGCGUUAUCCGGAUUUACUGGGUUUAAAGGGUGCGUAGGUGGGUAGGUAAGUCAGUGGUGAAAUCUUCAAGCUUAACUUGGAAACUGCCAUUGAUACUAUUUAUCUUGAAUACUUUGGAGGUAAGCGGAAUAUGUCAUGUAGCGGUGAAAUGCUUAGAUAUGACAUAGAACACCAAUUGCGAAGGCAGCUUACUACACAGUGAUUGACACUGAGGCACGAAAGCGUGGGGAUCAAACAGGAUUAGAUACCCUGGUAGUCCACGCCCUAAACGAUGGAUACUCGACAUUAGCGAUACACAGUUAGUGUCUGAGCGAAAGCAUUAAGUAUCCCACCUGGGAAGUACGACCGCAAGGUUGAAACUCAAAUGAAUUGACGGAA
Molecule: ribosomal RNA, 492 nt
Filed under: uncultured bacterium
Lineage: Bacteria
Description: bacterial SSU rRNA
Rfam family: Bacterial small subunit ribosomal RNA
Source: RNAcentral